GAUGAACGCUGGCGGCGUGCCUAAUACAUGCAAGUCGAGCGAACGGACGAGAAGCUUGCUUCUCUUAUGUUAGCGGCGGACGGGUGAGUAACACGUGGAUAACCUACCUAUAAGACUGGGAUAACUUCGGGAAACCGGAGCUAAUACCGGAUAAUAUUUUGAACCGCAUGGUUCAAAAGUGAAAGACGGUCUUGCUGUCACUUAUAGAUGUAUCCGCGCUGCAUUAGCUAGUUGGUAAGGUAACGGCUUACCAAGGCAACGAUGCAUAGCCGACCUGAGAGGGUGAUCGGCCACACUGGAACUGAGACACGGUCCAGACUCCUACGGGAGGCAGCAGUAGGGAAUCUUCCGCAAUGGGCGAAAGCCUGACGGAGCAACGCCGCGUGAGUGAUGAAGGUCUUCGGAUCGUAAAACUCUGUUAUUAGGGAAGAACAUAUGUGUAAGUAACUGUGCACAUCUUGACGGUACCUAAUCAGAAAGCCACGGCUAACUACGUG
This 497-nucleotide ribosomal RNA is filed under the name uncultured bacterium. RNAcentral's name for it is "partial 16S ribosomal RNA". It matches the Rfam family "Bacterial small subunit ribosomal RNA", at positions 28 to 507 of the family's 1533-position model. The record is from RNAcentral.